This 342-nucleotide ribosomal RNA is filed under the name Escherichia coli. Its description in RNAcentral is "partial 23S ribosomal RNA". It matches the Rfam family "Bacterial large subunit ribosomal RNA", at positions 2601 to 2925 of the family's 2925-position model. The record is from RNAcentral. Lineage: Bacteria; Pseudomonadati; Pseudomonadota; Gammaproteobacteria; Enterobacterales; Enterobacteriaceae.
CGAGCUGGGUUUAGAACGUCGUGAGACAGUUCGGUCCCUAUCUGCCGUGGGCGCUGGAGAACUGAGGGGGGCUGCUCCUAGUACGAGAGGACCGGAGUGGACGCAUCACUGGUGUUCGGGUUGUCAUGCCAAUGGCACUGCCCGGUAGCUAAAUGCGGAAGAGAUAAGUGCUGAAAGCAUCUAAGCACGAAACUUGCCCCGAGAUGAGUUCUCCCUGACUCCUUGAGAGUCCUGAAGGAACGUUGAAGACGACGACGUUGAUAGGCCGGGUGUGUAAGCGCAGCGAUGCGUUGAGCUAACCGGUACUAAUGAACCGUGAGGCUUAACCUUACAACGCCGAAG